This 449-nucleotide ribosomal RNA is filed under the name uncultured bacterium. Its description in RNAcentral is "partial 16S ribosomal RNA". It matches the Rfam family "Bacterial small subunit ribosomal RNA", at positions 329 to 794 of the family's 1533-position model. The record is from RNAcentral.
UUCCAGACUCCUACGGGAGGCAGCAGUGGGGGAUAUUGCACAAUGGGGGGAACCCUGAUGCAGCGACGCCGCGUGGGUGAAGGAGCGUUUCGGCGCGUAAAGCCCUAUCGGCAGGGAAGAAGGAGGACGGUACCUGACUAAGAAGCCCCGGCUAACUACGUGCCAGCAGCCGCGGUAAUACGUAGGGGGCGAGCGUUAUCCGGAUUCACUGGGUGUAAAGGGAGCGUAGACGGCCAUGCAAGCCAGGGGUGAAAGCCCGGGGCCCAACCCCGGGACUGCCCUUGGAACUGCAUGGCUGGAGUGCGGGAGGGGCAGGCGGAAUUCCUGGUGUAGCGGUGAAAUGCGUAGAUAUCAGGAGGAACACCGGUGGCGAAGGCGGCCUGCUGGACUGCGACUGACGUUGAGGCCCGAAAGCGUGGGGAGCAAACAGGAUUAGAUACCCGUGUACU